Molecule: long non-coding RNA, 215 nt
Filed under: Lathyrus oleraceus (garden pea)
Lineage: Eukaryota; Viridiplantae; Streptophyta; Magnoliopsida; Fabales; Fabaceae
Description: Pisum sativum (pea) long non-coding RNA (PSAT_LNC015248)
Source: RNAcentral
UAAUCUUGAAGGAGCAAAAGUUUGUUCAUGAGUUGUCAUGCUCGCUAAGCGAGCAGAAUGGGUCGCCUAGCGAGUCCCAAGAAAAGCCACCAGAAUCACCUACGCUCAAAGGAACUUUUUGAAAUGUCAUGCUCGCUAGGCGAUGCCCACGUGUUUAAAAAAAAACGAAAAAUGAAAUAAAAAAAAAGAACGAAAAACGAAAAUAAAUAAAUAAA